UUUAAAAGGUGGAUUUUCCUCCUAUGAUUAUGCAUUGGCUGGUUAAUCAUACGGGAAAAUCCACGUUUUCAG
MicroRNA precursor from Cavia porcellus (domestic guinea pig), 72 nucleotides. The record is from Rfam. NCBI's taxonomy places the organism in Eukaryota, Metazoa, Chordata, Mammalia, Rodentia, Caviidae.